GAUGAAGAACGCAGCGAAAUGCGAUAAGUAAUGUGAAUUGCAGAAUUCAGUGAAUCAUCGAAUCUUUGAACGCACAUUGCGCCCGCCAGUAUUCUGGCGGGCAUACCUGUUCGAGCGUCAUUACAACCCUCAGGCCCCCGGGCCUGGCGUUGGGGAUCGGCGGAGCCCCCCGUGGGCACACGCCGUCCCCCAAAUGCAGUGGCGGUCCCGCCGCAGCUUCCAUCGCGUAGUAGCUAACACCUCGCGACUGGAGAGCGGCGCGGCCACGCCGUAAAACACCCAACUCUUCUGAAGUUGACCUCGAAUCAGGUAGGAAUACCCGCUGAACUUAAGCAUAUCAAUAAGCGGAGGA
Molecule: unclassified non-coding RNA, 352 nt
Filed under: soil metagenome
Description: partial contains 5.8S ribosomal RNA, internal transcribed spacer 2, and large subunit ribosomal RNA
Rfam family: 5.8S ribosomal RNA (bases 1-120)
Source: RNAcentral